RNAcentral lists this ribosomal RNA (445 nucleotides) under uncultured bacterium. Its description in RNAcentral is "partial 16S ribosomal RNA". It matches the Rfam family "Bacterial small subunit ribosomal RNA", at positions 354 to 796 of the family's 1533-position model. The record is from RNAcentral.
GUAGGGAAUAUUGGACAAUGGGCGAAAGCCUGAUCCAGCCAUGCCGCGUGAUAGAUGAAGGCCCUCUGGGUUGUAAAUAUCUUUUAUCUGGGAAGAAACUCCUCUAUUCUUAGAGGCCUGACGGUACCAGAGGAAUAAGCACCGGCUAACUCCGUGCCAGCAGCCGCGGUAAUACGGAGGGUGCAAGCGUUAUCCGGAUUCACUGGGUUUAAAGGGUGCGUAGGCGGGUUGAUAAGUCAGUGGUGAAAGCUCCGGGCUUAACUUGGAAACUGCCAUUGAUCCUGUCAGUCUUGAAUGUCGUAGAGGUAAGCGGAAUGUUGCAUGUAGCGGUGAAAUGCUUAGAUAUGUUACAGAACACCAAUUGCGAAGGCAGCUUACUAUGCGAUAAUUGACGCUGAGGCACGAAAGCGUGGGGAGCAAACAGGAUUAGAAACCCCAGUAGUCC